RNAcentral lists this ribosomal RNA (253 nucleotides) under uncultured bacterium. RNAcentral describes it as "partial 16S ribosomal RNA". It matches the Rfam family "Bacterial small subunit ribosomal RNA", at positions 524 to 776 of the family's 1533-position model. The record is from RNAcentral.
UACGUAGGGUGCAAGCGUUAAUCGGAAUUACUGGGCGUAAAGCGUGCGCAGGCGGUUGUGCAAGACAGAUGUGAAAUCCCCGGGCUCAACCUGGGAACUGCAUUUGUGACUGCAUGGCUAGAGUACGGUAGAGGGGGAUGGAAUUCCGCGUGUAGCAGUGAAAUGCGUAGAUAUGCGGAGGAACACCGAUGGCGAAGGCAAUCCCCUGGACCUGUACUGACACUGAGGCACGAAAGCGUGGGGAGCAAACAGG